AUGGCAUCGCUAACUAUGCUAGUCACAUGGACCAUUUAGAAUGAGAGAAAUGCACGGGUGUUUCGCAACAAGAGUGCUCCUCCACCAAUAUUGCUUGCCAUCAUCAUUUGUGAGGCAAAUCUUUGGGUCACCGCCGGUGCAAGAAAGUUAGGGUCAAUUAUCACGCGCGAGUAA
This 174-nucleotide ribosomal RNA is filed under the name Triticum aestivum (bread wheat). RNAcentral describes it as "partial small subunit ribosomal RNA". The record is from RNAcentral. Lineage: Eukaryota; Viridiplantae; Streptophyta; Magnoliopsida; Poales; Poaceae.